This 87-nucleotide transfer RNA is filed under the name Shewanella putrefaciens. Its description in RNAcentral is "tRNA-Leu". Lineage: Bacteria; Pseudomonadati; Pseudomonadota; Gammaproteobacteria; Alteromonadales; Shewanellaceae. The record is from RNAcentral.
AUUGGCGCGCCAGAUAUGGCGUUACCUAGGAUGAAUAACUGGAGUUUUUGGAUCCUUCCUUUCGCCUUCGCCAUUUUACUCGGUUCA